Non-coding RNA from Puccinia sorghi, 90 nucleotides. The record is from the annotation of a GenBank genome assembly. Lineage: Eukaryota; Fungi; Basidiomycota; Pucciniomycetes; Pucciniales; Pucciniaceae.
GAUUUGGUAGCUUAGUUGGUAAAGGCAGCCCUUCUAGCAUAGCGGCUUAGCUUCUAGCUAAGUUUUCUGGUUCAAAUUCUGCCCAAGUUA